Molecule: ribosomal RNA, 450 nt
Filed under: uncultured bacterium
Lineage: Bacteria
Description: partial 16S ribosomal RNA
Rfam family: Bacterial small subunit ribosomal RNA
Source: RNAcentral
GUGGGGAAUAUUGGACAAUGGGCGAAAGCCUGAUCCAGCCAUGCCGCGUGUGUGAAGAAGGUCUUCGGAUUGUAAAGCACUUUAAGUUGGGAGGAAGGGCAGUAAGUUAAUACCUUGCUGUUUUGACGUUACCGACAGAAUAAGCACCGGCUAACUUCGUGCCAGCAGCCGCGGUAAUACGAAGGGUGCAAGCGUUAAUCGGAAUUACUGGGCGUAAAGCGCGCGUAGGUGGUUUUGUAAGUUGGAGGUGAAAUCCCCGGGCUCAACCUGUGAACUGCCUCCAAAACUGCAUGACUAGAGUAUGGUAGAGGGUAGUGGAAUUUCCUGUGUAGCGGUGAAAUGCGUAGAUAUAGGAAGGAACACCAGUGGCGAAGGCGACUACCUGGACUGAUACUGACACUGAGGUGCGAAAGCGUUGGGAGCAAACAGGAUUAGAUACCCCUGUAGUCC